AGUUUUUAGUAGUAGAAGAUACUAUCUUGACAGAUCUUCUGGGACUCCAACUUCAUAAACUAGAAGAAGAAAUCCAUGGUAUAGUUGACAGAGCUGUGCUAGAGUUGGGUACUUGAAAUGUGAGAGAUGUCCAUCUUUUUCCACCUAUUUCCAUGGAAGAGUAUGUACAGAUUGCAGUCUUGAUGAAGUUGUACUUCAGGAAAUUCAUGAUACCAGUGAAUAGUUUCACGUGAGCAAAAUUCAGUGGCUUUUUGUAUGCAGCGUGGUUUACGUCAUUGUGCAUUGAAUAUAAUUUAAUUGAAGUUUUCAACUCAAAAUAUGAAAUGUGAUAUGUAUAAACAGAGGUUAUAACUACUUUUCUUGUUCUCAGAUUUUGGCAGGAACCGGUUGAAUGUGGGCUGCCAUGGAAUUUUCUUAUGAAGAGCAUCACAGCUCUUCAUAAAGAGAGAGAGAGCUCUUCAUAAAGCAUAAAGAGCUUCUUUAUUAUUCAGUCAAACAGUUGCUUGGGACUCUAGAUAACAUUCAAAUGGCACCUCAUUCUGAGAAGAUGAUACAAAUCCUGUGCUUUCUCUUCCUGGAAAUUUAGCUGUGUGUGAUUUGCAUUCACUUGGAUCAUAGGUUUUCAGGAGUCAACAUGGAAAAUGCCAAUGAGAUCGUCAAAUCUAUUCUACUUCUGAUGCUAAAUGAUCAGCUUUCAGAUCUGCUAUGUUUAGUGAUGAUAAGACUGAAAGAUUUAUGACCUUUGUUACACUGUUAGUGAUUGAGACUGAUCAUUAUACAAGAUAUUUUUGAUGUUUUUGUAGCUAUCUUUCUGUUAUCCUCUCUUCAAUAACAAUCUACAUUUUCUGACGUUUUGAGACCAAUUUGUUUUAAGGCACAAGCACUUUGCCUUUCAAAAGUUUAUACUCUGUUAUCUACAUUCUAGGUGAUACUCCUGGCUUCAGUGAUGACCAUUUAUGGCUGUUAGUUCUGAGUACUACAAUUAUUGGUAUGCCUUAAAACUUUUUUUUAAAGGGAUGUGACAUGUAACAGAAGUACUGAAACCUUUCCAACACUUGACUGGCUUGAACACUGAGCCUUUUUGGAUCAUGGAUUCUCACAGGUUCUUUUAAAUAAUAGAUUUUAGUGGCCGGUUUCAUACAUUAAUUGCUCUAUGCCACAAACAAGGACAGCAGGCAAACAAUCUUUUGUUCUAUUUCUCAAGAGUAGAUCGCUGUCUACACACCAGCAUGGUCUUCAAAAUCCUCAGUCAGAAGUGUUUUCUGCAAGGCAUUCAUACCUGAAUAAACAAAUCUUCAUGAAAUAAGCAUUAAUGACUAUUAAUAAUGAUUCAGCAAUUAUUAAUAAUGAUUUUAAGUCUUCUCAGUUUUACACUGGGCUAUUUUAGACCUUUAGACUCUUCUGACAACUCCUAGUAGUGUCAUUAACAACAGCUUUAAUAGAAAUAUGUGUAAAGGAAGAGUGAUUGAGGCAAAUCUAAGGCAAAUGUUUUUUUUUUCUGCCUCUGGUGGUUUUUGGUGCAGAUGUCUCAUCAUUUUACAGACUUCUGAACAAAACUUUUGAUCUUAAAUGUCAACAAGCAAAUACUACCCUUGGAAGGUACAGCAUACAAAGGGAGUAUGUCCCUUUCCAUGAAGGGUGCAGUUGCAGCAGUCAGGUGUGUUGAGUUCUAUGGAAUUUACACAAUGAAUUUUCCCUUCUUUGGGAUAUAGACACUUAGACUGGCAUGAAAUGUCAGUUUUUAGAAACAUAAGGUGAUUUAAAAUCCUACAGCUAUUUUUUUCCAAAUUCCAAAAUACCACUGUUAUAAUUACAAGGCCCAAAAUUGCCCGAUGAACUAAUAUUUAAAUAAAUUAUCUAGUUGCCCCUUAUGUGUAGGUUUAUAAAGAAGGGUAGAGGGUUAAGUGUUUAAGAAAAAAAAAAUUGUACCAAAAGCCAAAGAACUAAUUAAGUUUUUGGUUGAAUAUUGCAUUUCUCAUACUUCCUCUCUUCUUCUGCUCUUUUCUUUCAUCUUAAAUGACACUUUUCAAUUCCUUCCUCUCUUAUCCUUUAAGGCAUACCUCUCAAGACCUCCAGCUCUCACCCGUUUCCACUAUCAGCUGUUUCUGAGCCUCCUGUUUGCUAAUUGGCCAUCCAGUAUGUGUGUGAACUGGGUAGUGGUAGGUCAGAAAAAACAGAUCAGCAGCUUCUGAGACAAUAAUGUAUUGUUCCCGCAACAGUGCUGAAUGGAUAAGCAUUCACAUUGCAUAAAAUCAAUCUUGCAUGUGGUUCUAAUGAUUGAUUGUCUCAGCAGGGAGGCCGCAGUCUGAAUGGGCAAAUACAUGCAGCUCACCUCUUAACGGUGGUUUCUCCAAGAUACAUUUGAGUGCAUGGAAACAUAGGAAAGACUGUAGUGUUUGUGUUUAUGCUGUCUGCAGAACUGUAUAAUUCAGACUUUUACAUUUGGAGCUCUAAGACUAUAUUGCUGUAUGUUACACCAAAUGGAUAUAUAAACUAAAACAAUGGUAUCCCAGUAAGUGGAAAAGACUCCUAAGAGUUAAAUCCUACUGAAGAGGUAGUGUGGAGAGAGAAAAUGGGAAAACAAGAACAACAACAACCUCUCAGUUCAAGUCUUCAAAGGAUGUUGAUGUAAAUAGUAUCCUUUGUAAAGGUUAAUGAGAUGAGCUUCCUGUUCUGUCAGUACAGAUUGUAGCGUUUAUGCUACGUGUGCAGGUUUAUGCUUUUUUUUUCUUUUUAUCAAAAGGUAGAUUCUCAGUUUCUACACCCUGAUGAAACUGUACAAAAAAUGUGUCCCUAUGUCAUGGAGACCUAUGAAGAAAAGCACAGAGAACAGUGGGUGUUUGUCUGCUCAACCCAGGUUGAAGUUAUGGGUUCACAAAUCUGAUGGGUUUCAGAUAUACAAAUGGCAUUCUCUAGACUGGAAGAAGGCUUGGGUUAGCCCUGAAGGAUUACCACAAGCAACCGGUAUGGAUAUCUUCUUUUUGUUUAAUUCAGUGAAAAUGAUCUCAUGAAAAGACAUUAGAUUUUUAACCCUAUAGUAAAUGAAAUGCCAUUAGUAUGUACUGGGGAAAUAAAUAUGUCAUUUCUGUUAUCUCAUGGGUAUUUUUAUCACAUCUUGAUUACUGGAUUUUCCAUGGGUCCAUUCUGAACUGAGAUGAAAGAUAAAAGCAAAAAUACUGACAGAGUUCAGCCACGUCAGUGUAGCAAGAACAGUGUAUACAAGUACCACAUAUGCAUAUGUUAAACCCAUGCAUUUGUGUAAGGAAGCAGAAACUGUUGGUUUUUUUUGUGUCAAACCACUAUUUAAUUUAGACCUGCUUCAGAAGGGUAGCUUCUGCUAUGUGAAUUUUUCUUCAUCCUUGCUUACCUUCAUCUUCUUCCCAAUGCUUCUGUUCUGGUAUGAACAUUCUUUCUUUCUGUAAAAACUUUAAGUAGUUCUGUUUUUCUUUUCCAGUCUAGAGAAUCUGCCAAGUGGAUAAACAACAUGGGAAGGAGGCUCAUAAGGAGGAGAAUGCGUUACCUAAGAUUUAUUUACCUUUAUAGUUAUCUAAAAUUUAUCCCUAUAAUAUAAAAAGUGAACAAAGGUUAAUCUUUGUUCACUGUUUCUCACAAUACAAGCACUAAUAGUUGUUACCUGAAACUAUUAACCAGCAGGCUUAAACAAAAGAAACACUUUCACACAGUGUACAGUUCAAAAUACAGGACAUUUGGCUACAGAAUGACCAGUUAUUUUUUAAAAGGUUAAAUGAAGUGUCAAAUUUCCACCAAUGACAACUAAGUAUGAUGAUAAAACUGGUAGUGCGAUCUUGCGUAGGGAGUAUUUGGGUUACUGAUUCUUGUGUGGUUUUUUCUGUGUCAGGGUGGGGGUGGGGGGCGAUUGUUCUUUUUUUGGUUGACUUGAGGUCUUGCUUUGUUCGGUCAUUUUUAUUUUGGUAGCAGUGGUUAUUUUGUUUUAGUAAAUCCUGGCUGAUGUGCCAUGUUAUUCCCAGUGUAUCCAGCUCCUGGACUUGCUUCUUAUGUGCCUUUUUAAAAAUAUCUUCUAGCUCCUGUGAAAGACAGACUGAUGCAUAAUGUGCGGUAUGUGUGAUGUGGUGACGCUUCUGCAAGCAGAGUGCAGCGCUGUCCCACAUUGUCACUGUUUCCUGUCUGGAUGUUAUAUGUGCUGAGGACUUCUGGACAGGAUCUGUGGGUUAGAAAUGACCACCUGGUCCUCUGCAAAAGAGAAGUGGAGUUUUGGUGUGUUUUUGAAAAGUGGUCUUUAAUAUUUUGGGAUACUAGGCAAUUUCAUACAAAAUGCUGCUACUGGUGUAUCCCUUAUAAUUGCAUUGGUAUAUCAUCGUGAUUUGCUACAGAAAAAUAGGAAGCUCAGUGAAAUUACCUGCUGGCGAGCAGCAAGGUAUUACCUCUAAAUUUGAGGUUAUUAAAUGGAGUGCAGAUUACCCUUGAGCAUUCUGCAGUUCUUAUCAUGUCUUAAUUAUUCCAUCUUCAGUCUUUCAGUGUGCUUUCUUUCCUUUUAGAGGCAUAUACGUGAAUUUCCAGAACAAGGUACUCUUUCUGUGGUGACUAUAAGUGCAUACGUAUACAGUACUGAAUGCAUGCUUAAAUCAAAAUGCUCUCUCCAAGUAUAAUUAAAAUACAACUAAGGUGGCUGUCACAUACUACUGGUUUGAAUGCACACAAAGUAUCGCUAGAUGGGUAUUGAAAUAUGAAAUAAUUCUUAUUUCUCUUCUGACCUCCUGAGCCUCAGAUUUCUUCAAAAUACUUUUGUGCCUAAGAAAGCAUGUGAGGACAGGGCCUCCCUCCAGUGUUUCUCUAGCAAGAUUCACUACAGGAUGAGAAGCUCCAGUGACUCUAUUUUUUGCCAGAGAUUUUAUUUAUUACAAUUUCAUUCUAAAAUGGUGCAUAGAAAUUUGGUCAGGGGUUCUCAUGGCCUCAGGUAUAUGUGUACAGUCACAUCCUGUAGAUUAGUGUUACAGCUUACACCCUCUGACCCUCUGACACUGUUGGCUGCUAUUUAAAUGGAAACACUGAAGACACAUUGAUUUGAAAACUGUGAAAUGAAACAAAGUGGAUUUCUAAGAUGGCAUCAAGCCAAAAAGAAACUCAAGAAGCAAAAUCAGACUUGUUCUGGUAAAAGCAACAUCCAUUUCUAUGCAAAGACUGUAUGGUUCAUAAGGAUUUUGGCUUAAUAAGUUGUAAUGUACUCUUCUAUAAUCGCUCUAUUACAAAGAUCUUAUGUUACACUUCCAUCUGUAUAAAAUCACCGCUGCCUCAAGGUGAGUUUAAUCUUUUAUAAUUGAUUCUAGUAGUUACCACUCAUAAAUGGUGAGGAAUGAGGUAUGAAACCUACUGAUGACAGCUGCAGCUUUGUGAUGUGUCAUUGCUUUCAUCUGGGUAUCUCCUACAAGUCAUAAUGACUCUGCAAUGGCUUUUUAGGUCACCAGUUCAUGAGGUAUUGCUUGGCUGUCGCAUCUACACCAUAGAUGGGAUGAUGCCCAGAAACACUGUUUUGGCAUCAUUGGUAAUGUUCAGUUUCAGGACAUUUACGAGUACUUGAGAAAUACCCCUCGGCUAAUUCUUACACCUUUGACUGACAAGUAAUGAAUAUUGCUAAUAGCAGUGUCAGCUUUUUCUCUUUAGGUGAAUAAAAAAUUAAAUGCUCAGUGUUCUUUCAUACCUCAUAUGAAUUUUAUAAGGUUUUCUUAGAGCUGUUAUUGAGACAAAGUAUCUUUGAACAUGUGUAUGCUUGUAAGCGUGCGCACUUAAGUAGUACGUGAACUUAAUCUCUCUUAAUUUUAAAAAUAAGUUAAAUAUUUCUUGUGUAAUAUAAUGCAAAAAUUAUGGUUAAUAAUUUUUAAUUUUUUUUUAAUAAUUUAAUAAAAUAGUGGUUAAUCUGAAGAAGAGCGUGAAUGGAUCUAUACCAGGGUUACUUGGGAUUUUUCAGCAAAAUCUUCCCUUUUUUUUUUUCUUUUCCAAUAUGUUGAAAAUUCAAAAACCAGUACUUUUUCACACCACGUGCAACAAAGAUUUUUUUUCUGGAAUCUUUUUUGCUAGAAUCAGUGAUUCAAGAAGGUGCAUCCAUCAGUCCCAGCUGGCUUAGUAGUUACAACCCACAGACGGGAUAGACAAAUCCAAGAACCAACCCUAUAAAUAAGGCAAAGUAACAGCAAAUAUCCUCAAGUUUCCUGUCUUGUGUGACCACAGGUGAGAUAUUACUCCUUAAUUUAAAAAAAAAGUUGAUAUUUGGUUUACAUACAGAAGCUUUGUAAAGUGUGGUGCACAGCAAGCAAUUUCCCGCACUAUGCGACAGCCUGUUAUCUUUUUUUACAGUACACAUUUAUACUUCAUAUGCUAAGACUGAUCUUUCAAGGAAGAAAGUUUUGAAUGUAAGGAUCUGACUAUAUUUUCACACUAUAAUUGUGAAUCAAAAUGGUGUUCUGGGAGUGAAUAAGUUCCAUGUUUUUCCAUUGUGAUGGGCAGGAGAACAAUGCCAAUUUAUUCUAACAAAGUCUUAGAGUUGCAUAUCUAUAUCUAUGUGAUGAUGGUCUUUGUUUUAGUGCAGACUCUGUUAACACUUUUCACUGUUUUAAACAAGACUUGAGGAAAAUAUGAUUAUGUGAUUUAAUUUCUCAACAUAGUGAAGUUCAGUGGGGCAAGCUGCAGGGCAUCGUCAGGCUGUCUGAAGAAGUACAAGUAUGGAUUUGUUUUGUGGCAUUGCUUUUCUGCUUCAGAUGGGAGAACCAGGCAGCAGCAGGAAUGAGCUUUCUUGGUUUUGAGCCUAAAUUUGUAACAAGGAGUAAGCAACAUCUGCUUAGAAGAAGGAGGUUAAGAUUUGAAUUCAUGAGCCUCUGCAAAGACUGUCACUGAAAAGGCUGCCAUUAGUCCUCUCUUUACAACAUGCAAUGUGGGGAAAAGCACUGCUCCAGACAUAAGGAUUACAUUCCAUUCUUGUUACAUUCCUUACUCAUUUUUUCUGAGGAGAAACCUCCCUAAUCCGGAUGACCUUUGAGUCUUCAACCUUGGGAAUCCUUUCCAAGCUGUAACACAAUGCAAUACACCACAACAUAGAUACAGUAGUAGCUAGGCUACAUGGGAUGGAGCUGGCAAGUAAAGUUUGUUACAACAACCUGGGUAUCAUAGAAUCAUUAAGGUUGAAAAAGACCUCUAAGGUCAUCAGUCCAACUGUCAACCCACCACCAUCAUGCCCGGUAACUGUGUACCUCAGUGCCACAACUACACAGUUAUUGAAUGUCUCCAGGGAUGGUGACUCCAUCGCCCCCUGGAGGGUGUCAGCCUCCUGAAGUCUGUUCUAGUGCAUCACUGCUCCUUCUGAGAAGAAAUUUUUCUCACUAUACAGGUAAGACCAGUUAUAACUGAUCUUUUAAUGUCCUAUAGCUUAGUCUUAGCAAAGAUGGGAGGGACAAUGGCUUUCCCUACAGGUGUUUUUUGAAUCAUAUAAUUAAAAUGGUUUUGUUCUUAAAGUUUGAACUAAAGAUUAUGCUUAAAAAGUAAACAGUUAAACCUCUGAGGGCAAGCAAAUCCUUGUAAGUGUAUUAACAACCCUUAAAAGUGAAUUCCUUUUAGUAAUAAUCAUUUCAGCAAUGGUAGAGUAUUGUAAUGACUUCCAGCCCCUGCACAGCUCCUGCUGAUGUCUUUCAGUCAUUCACAGUGAAUAAUACUGCAGUAGAAUGUGCCUGCCCGAUGCUUCCUAGUACCUGUUUUACAAGCCCUACAUCUCUCAGCUGCUGCCUUUGUGUACAGUGAUGUUACUGAAUGCUGACAAUCAACUGUGUCUAAUUAUCUCCUUUUGCUUUGAAGUAAGGUCCUUGUUAGCUCUGACUGACGUUCUUAAUUGUAACUCUCUGAAGCUCUGUUUUAAAAAUGUUUGCACACAACAGUCAUUUUAUUUAAGUGACUUAUGUUUACCAUGUUUAAGUACUAAUCUGUGUAUCUGGAUUAUGGUGUUUGUUUUCUUCCUUAAACCCUGUGCCAUGGUUGCCCCUGACAUUGAACUGACCUAUGAAAUUAUGUUGGUUGCUGCGGGGUUUAUUGAUGCACGUCUGUUAGCCAGGAAGUUUAUUACCUCGUGUACUUUCCGCAGGGAACUACUCUCUAAACAGGCGAGGGUCUCUGAGCUUCUUGUUUUUCUACAUGUUAAUUAACACGUUCACUUGGAAACAGUGUACAUGGACACCAUAUAAUAAUUAUGAUGGUGGUUUUUGUUUAAGCGUACAAUCUUGUAUUUUUAUUUUGAAGACACUUGAAAUUGUAUAUCCAUCCUAUAUAUCAUCAUCAGUUAUAUCAGAUAUCAUCCAUUAUAUGAUCAGGUCAUCAGAUAUAAAUUUAAAAUGAAGUGCCUUUUUUUCUGCUCUUGGUACACUUGUAAUGUAUUAAUUUUGUGUUAAAAAUUGUACGUCAUUGAUUAGUACGAGGGAUGGCCGAACUAAUUUCUGUGAUUGUGUGGUAUCUGUAUUAGAAUUAAAGGUACUUCUUGGUAAGAGGAAGAACCUCAAGGGAGAUCAGAAACUGUCAUGUAUAACAAACAAUAUAUAAUGUCUGAAUGUAUUUUUGUUUAAACUUUUGUCAGUGAAUACGGUGAAGGAUUGUUUAAAAUUGAAACAAAACAUUGCUAAAUAAAUAUACUAGGAAGUAUUUUUAUUCAGAAUAUCUUAGAAACCUAUAACUUAUACGUCCUUUCCUUACCAAAUGUUUUUAGACUAGGCUGAGUAGUUAUCCAUGUCUCUUUGAUUUUUUGUGUUAGAUGCAAAAUAUGUUGCUAAUCUACCCAAUUUUCUAUUCAGGAAGCAAAAAAGUAUUGCUUAUAUCAGGUCAAAUGAGAUGUUUGGCAGCAAUUUUUCUGCUUGCCUUGUUUCAUCAUGGAGACAUAGUUGCAAUGAGUAAUAUUUGAAAAUACGGUGGAAGAGGUAGAAGAAUUUAGUUAAAUACAGCCUGUGGGAAAUGCUGAAAAUCUCUAAUAAAAAGCACAGCUUCCCAGAACAACUUGGCCUUUGUGAUCUCUUUGUGAUAGUUUCUACCCUACAGCCUUACUCCUGUGAUGGUAAAUUAAUAGAAGUGUCUUGAACCUGACAAGUAGGAAAAUACUGUUUUUUUUUGAGAGGGCACCCUGACAUCUGAAACCUGCAUCUAUUAUAUUCUCUGAAGAAGAAGGAAGGAGAUACAUUGCAUCUUUCUUCAUCACUAGAAGAACUGUGUGUGGCCUGCUUCUGAAAUCCAUCCCUCCAUUUGGUUUUUGUAAUGAUAUUUGUUUGUGUAAGAUUGUCACCAGAGGAACCAAAGCUGAAAUGGGUCCAAAAGUUCAUGAAAUCACAUUCUCACAGUAUUGUCCUAGGUCUUUUAUCUUCUGGUGCACGUUUUGCCAUAUAAGAAUGCAGGUGCGUUAUUAAAAAUUAAAUAGAUAUAUAUUUUUCACCCUUUUAGACUUUUGCCUUACUUAUGAUGCUGACCUCAAGCCUAUAAAAAGGGGAAUAAAGGUGUUACUUUAUGUGUAAAUUGAACAUUGUCUUCUGACUAUUUACUACCUGGUUUCUCUUCAUAUGCUAACAUGACUCAUUAAAAUGUUUUCCCAGUGCCACUGUGACUGGGGACUUUGUCAGUUCCGACAGCUGCUGGUUCACUGAAAGGAGGAGACAAGAACAGCCCUGAGGACCAAGUGCAACCUUCACUUGGAAGGUGCAGGAGUAGCUGUUCCUGGUGUUCUGUCUUGGAAUAAAAACAAAUUCCUAAAAAGAAAAUGGUUUAAUGCUCUUGUAAUCUGUGGUUUGCAUCCUUGUCCAGGUGUUUAUGCAAGCUUUAAGAGAUUUCACUUUGCCUAAAAUGUUGACAGAUGAUAACCCAAUUUUCAUGGGCCUAACCAGUGACCUGUUUCAAGUUCUGGAUGUCCUGAGAAAGAAGAACCUGCAAUUUGAACAGAUGGCUGAACAAUCUACCCUAGAGUUUCACUUGUAGCCUGAAGAGAUCUUAAUUCUCAAGGAAUCAAAAACAUCUACGGCAAGUCAAAACUGCAGUGGAACAAGGUAUUCAGGUGUCACUACGCAAGUGCCACUCCCACUGCCUACGAGAACUCUUGAACGUGUUGCCCUUUAAAAAAAAAAUCAAGGUAGAUGUUGCCAGUUUGUGCAUCAAGACCGGUGCCAAGAACAUGCCCACAGUGUUUUUGCUGACAGAUGCCCAAGUUCCAGAUGAACGCUUUCUUGUGCUGAUUAAUGACUUGUUGGCAUCAGGUAUUUGUAGGGGAAGCCUUUAGAGAAGCUAAAUCAACCCAGCCAGCUUGAGCACAGAGUCUAACUUGCUUAACAAAACACAGAGGAGACAAAUUGCUAAGGCUCAUCAUGCGAGAUGUUCCUGAUCUGUUCACUGAUGAAGAUGUGGAGGGCAAAGUUGCAGGAGUCAGAAGAGUCAGAAAAGAAGUCCCUGACCUGGGCGUGAUGAACACCACUUUCUAGCUGAUGGAGGUUCUUCUUUGGUUGAAUGCAGUA
RNA transcript from Gallus gallus (chicken), 10496 nucleotides. It is a transcript of the gene named dynein axonemal heavy chain 11, with no coding region annotated. The transcript has 6 exons. NCBI's taxonomy places the organism in Eukaryota, Metazoa, Chordata, Aves, Galliformes, Phasianidae. The record is from RefSeq and is a predicted model, not a curated record.